RNAcentral lists this ribosomal RNA (617 nucleotides) under Formica frontalis. RNAcentral's name for it is "partial 16S ribosmal RNA". The stretch from base 470 to 617 matches the Rfam family "Archaeal large subunit ribosomal RNA", at positions 2542 to 2690 of the family's 2987-position model. Lineage: Eukaryota; Metazoa; Arthropoda; Insecta; Hymenoptera; Formicidae. The record is from RNAcentral.
CACCUGUUUAUCAAAAACAUGGUUUUAUGAUUAUAUUUUAAGAUUUAUUCUGCUCAAUGAUAGUAUAUUAAUUAUUAAAUAGCCGCAGUAUUUUGACUGUGCAAAGGUAGCAUAAUCAAUUGUCUUUUAAUUAAAGACUGGGAUGAAGGAAUGAAUGAAAUUUAAACUGUCUAUAAUAAAAAAUUAAAAUUUAAAUUUUAAGUUAAAAUGCUUAAAUGAAAUUAUGGGACGAGAAGACCCUAUAGAAUUUUAUAUAAAUUUUUAAAUUAAAUAUAUGAGUAAAAAAAAUUAAAUUUAGAAUUAUAUUUUAUUGGGAGGAUAAUUAAAUUAAUUUAACUUUAUUAAUUAAUUAUAAUAUAUAUAUAUAUAUAUAUAUAUAUAUAUAUAUAUAUAUAUAUAUUGAGACAUUAAUUUAUGAAAAAAUGAAUAAAUUUUUUAUUGAAUUUAUAUUAGAAUUAAUUACCUUAGGGAUAACAGCGUUAUAUUUUUUAAAAGAUCAUAUUAAGAAAAAUGUUUGCGACCUCGAUGUUGAAUUAAAGUAAAAAUUAAAUGAAGAAGUUUAAUAUUUUAGUCUGUUCGACUAUUAAAAUUUUACAUGAUUUGAGUUCAAAUCGACG